AGAGUUUGAUCAUGGCUCAGAACGAACGCUGGCGGCAGGCUUAACACAUGCAAGUCGAACGGGUGUAGCAAUACAUCAGUGGCAGACGGGUGAGUAACACGUGGGAACCUUCCUAGAGGUACGGAACAACUCAGGGAAACUUGAGCUAAUACCGUAUACGCUCUUGCGAGGAAAGAUUUAUCGCCUUUAGACGGGCCCGCGUCGGAUUAGCUAGUUGGUGGGGUAACGGCCUACCAAGGCGACGAUCCGUAGCUGAUCUGAGAGGAUGAUCAGCCACACUGGGACUGAGACACGGCCCAGACUCCUACGGGAGGCAGCAGUGGGGAAUCUUGGACAAUGGGCGCAAGCCUGAUCCAGCCAUGCCGCGUGAGUGAAGAAGGCCUGCGGGUUGUAAAGCUCUUUUGCCAGGGACGAUAAUGACGGUACCUGGAGAAUAAGCCCCGGCAAACUUCGUG
RNAcentral lists this ribosomal RNA (455 nucleotides) under uncultured bacterium. RNAcentral describes it as "bacterial SSU rRNA". It matches the Rfam family "Bacterial small subunit ribosomal RNA", at positions 8 to 507 of the family's 1533-position model. The record is from RNAcentral.